Molecule: ribosomal RNA, 253 nt
Filed under: uncultured bacterium
Lineage: Bacteria
Description: partial 16S ribosomal RNA
Rfam family: Bacterial small subunit ribosomal RNA
Source: RNAcentral
UACGUAGGUGGCGAGCGUUGUCCGGAUUUACUGGGCGUAAAGAGCGCGCAGGCGGUCGUGCAAGUCGCGUGUGAAAGCCCCCGGCUCAACUGGGGAGGGUCACGCGAUACUGCUCGACUCGAAGGCAGGAGAGGGAUGCGGAAUUCCAGGUGUAGCGGUGAAAUGCGUAGAUAUCUGGAGGAACACCGGUGGCGAAGGCGGCAUCCUGGACCGGCAUUGACGCUGAGGCGCGAAAGCUAGGGGAGCAAACGGG